Molecule: ribosomal RNA, 1679 nt
Filed under: Puntius sahyadriensis (Khavli barb)
Lineage: Eukaryota; Metazoa; Chordata; Actinopteri; Cypriniformes; Cyprinidae
Description: 16S rRNA
Rfam family: Bacterial large subunit ribosomal RNA (bases 96-1563)
Source: RNAcentral
ACUAAAAAACUAGCCUAAACACUUAAUAAAUGAGUAAUAUAAAUAAUAAAAAAUAAGCCAAUCAGUAAAAAUUAAAUCAUUCUAUUACCCAAGUAUGGGAGACAGAAAAGGUAAAACUAGAGCAAUAGAGAUAGUACCGCAGGGAAAGUUGAAAAAGAAAUGAAACAACCCAUUUAAGUAUUAAUAAGCAGAGACUAAGACUCGUACCUUUUGCAUCAUGGUUUAGCAAGCACACCCAAGCAAAGAGACCUUUAGUUUGAAACCCCGAAACCAAGUGAGCUACCCCGAGGCAGCCUAUCUAGGGCCAACCCGUCUCUGUGGCAAAAGAGUGGGAAGAACUCCGGGUAGAGGUGACAGACCUACCGAACCUGGUGAUAGCUGGUUGCCUGAGAAAUGAAUAGAAGUUCAGCCUCAUUAGCCUUUGAUCAAUUAAAUUGGACUAGAAGAAAUAAAUGAGAGUUAGUUAAAAGGGGUACAGCCCGUUUAACCGAGGACACAACCUUAGUAAGGAGGAUAAAGAUCAUAUUACAUAAAACAUACUGUCCUAGUGGGCCUAAAGGCAGCCACCUAAUCAGAAAGCGUUAAAGCUUAAACAGGUAAAAGUUUAUUAUUCCGAUAAAAAAUCUUACUCCCCUAAAAUCUAUCAGGCCACCCCAUGCCUUCAUGGAAAAGACCAUGCUAAAAUGAGUAACAAGAAGACCCACUCUUCUCCUUGACACAAGUGUAAGCCAAACCGGACUACCCAUUGGCAAACGACGAACCCAACCAAAGAGGGAAAUGUGGAUGAAAAUUAAAUUCAAGAAAAACCCACAACAAUGAAUCGUUACCCCCACACUGGAGUGCCCCAGAGGAAAGACUAAAAGAGAAGGAAGGAACUCGGCAAACAUAAGCCUCGCCUGUUUACCAAAAACAUCGCCUCCUGCAACAUAAUCAAGUAUAAGAGGUCCAGCCUGCCCGGUGACCACAGGUUCAACGGCCGCGGUAUUUUGACCGUGCAAAGGUAGCGCAAUCACUUGUCUUUUAAAUGAAGACCCGUAUGAAAGGCCAAACGAGGGCUUAACUGUCUCCCAUUUCUAGUCAGUGAAAUUGAUCUGCCCGUGCAGAAGCGGACAUAAAAAUACAAGACGAGAAGACCCUUUGGAGCUUAAGGCAUAAAACUCAACCACAUAAAGCAACUCUAUAAAAAGUGAAUAUCAAAACAUGUGGCAAAUGAAGACCCUGCCUUCGGUUGGGGCGACCGCGGAGGAAAGAAAAGCCUCCACGUGGAUUGGGAUAUUUCCUAAAACCAAGAGAGACAUCUCUAAGCUACAGAACAUCUGACCAUUAAUGAUCCGGCCAAUGACAGCCGAUCAACGAACCAAGUUACCCUAGGGAUAACAGCGCAAUCCUCUCCAAGAGUCCCUAUCGACGAGGGGGUUUACGACCUCGAUGUUGGAUCAGGACAUCCUAAUGGUGCAGCAGUUAUUAAGGGUUCGUUUGUUCAACGAUUAAAGUCCUACGUGAUCUGAGUUCAGACCGGAGCAAUCCAGGUCAGUUUCUAUCUGUAAAGCUUCUCUUCCCAGUACGAAAGGAUCGGAAAAGAGGGGCCCAUGCUCAAGGCACGCCCCACUCCUAAUUUAUGAAUACAAAUAAAUAUAAGUAAAGGAAAGCAAAACCCAAUUAACCGAAAUAAGGUCAUU